Molecule: long non-coding RNA, 246 nt
Filed under: Brassica rapa (field mustard)
Lineage: Eukaryota; Viridiplantae; Streptophyta; Magnoliopsida; Brassicales; Brassicaceae
Description: long non-coding RNA (BRAP_LNC006948)
Source: RNAcentral
UACGAUCAUUAAAUAAAAAACAAAAAAAUACAGAAAUGUAGAGAGUGUUGGUCGAACACAUGACCCGAAUAUCAUUAAUUGAAGAGAGAAACCAUUGUACCACAGUACAUUUAUGUUUUAUGAUACGAUUAUUUAGUAUAUAUCCAUAUUUAUAUAUUAUAUUAUUAAAAACUACUCCCCGAUUAAUCGAAUUGAUUCGGCGCUAGGCCCGGGUAGACCGCACGCGUUGCGCCUAGCGUAUUCCCG